AAUCUCUCUCCAAAUUUCCAAAUAAUACUUACAUUUUUUUCUUUGCUUGUUUGUGUAAUUGAACUCAAAGAAUUUUAGUAAUCAUUCAAAAUGUCCUGAGUCUGUCAGAGCAGAGGAUAGCUAGUUCUGCUUUAUAUUCAGGAAAUGCAUUUCUAUAAAAAACUCAUUUUUUCAUUAGUUGGGAUCUGUUUUAAUAUUACUCUUCCUUGUGAAACUGACUAGAUUCUCUAGGAAAUCUGUAUAGAUCAAUUAGACUUAAAUUACUAUUUUUACAAAUUUUUGCUUUUGACUGGUAAUUUAAAAGUUCUUGUUCUUGUUUACUUUGGUGAAUGUUGGUAAAUUCUAAUGAAUACAUUAAAAGAAUGUAUGCUUAAUGUAAUGAAUACACUGGAAGAAUGUUUGCUCAAGCAAACAGCCUCAGUGAAGAUUUAAAGACAACUGUUUUGUUCCCCAAUGAAUUUAAAGUAGGGCAAGAUGCAUAGACACACUGGUGUAUAUGAUAUUCUUAGUUUAUGACCAGUAAAUGAUGAAUCACACCAAGUUAGGUCAUUCACAUAUAGAGCACAUAGUAGAUGCUUGAUACUUGCCAAAUUGAACUACUGGAAAGGAUAUCUUGGUGCAAAUGAGCAUGGAAGUGCAAAGGUUUUGUGUACUUUUAGUUUAAGCUGACAACUACAUGUUGGUUAUUUUAAGAUCUAUCUAUCUAUCUCCAG
This 713-nucleotide long non-coding RNA is filed under the name Bos taurus (domestic cattle). RNAcentral describes it as "long non-coding RNA NONBTAT018554". The record is from RNAcentral. Lineage: Eukaryota; Metazoa; Chordata; Mammalia; Artiodactyla; Bovidae.